UCAGAAGCACGUGCGCCUUACGUAAUUUCCUGUUAUUCUUCGGUUUGCCUCCUCCCAGUGGCGUGGAUUUGCUCCCGACCCGCUUUUGGGGCGUGCCUGCUUCCUCCUCUCUGUUAGGCUGGAGUGAAAUGGCACAAUCUUGGCUCACUGUAACCUCCGCCCCCAGGUUCGACUGAUUCUCGUGCCUCAGCCUCCUCAGUAGCUGGGAUUACAGAUGAGCCCCAGAGAGGCGAAGCCACUUGAGCUCGUGAGUGACAGUCAGAUGUCAAGCCCUGCUCUUUCUAAAGCGUGCUGCCUUCAGAAAAGAAGAGCCAGAAGGAUGGAAAUUACUUCAGAAAGAUGAAUACCAGCUUUGAAGGAAUAAAAGCUGACGAGGAAUUGAAGGAGUUGAGGCACGAGCUUGAACAGGGUUGCAUGUUUGGCCCUUGAUUGUAAAUGCCCAUUGCUGCACCUGUUCCUGUUACUUGGGGAGUUGCAGCAGAAGGAACAGCGGCCUGGGACUCCAGAGAACUGGGUUCCCUCUCAUCCCUCCAGGGCCACCACUUCUUGUGGGCCCUUGGGCAAGUCACUGUACUUUCUGAGUCUCAGUUUCCCCAUUUGCAGAAUGGAAAUAACUACCCCGGUCUACCAACUUAGAAGAAUUGCUUUGAGGAUCUGAUAAGGUGGUGUGGAUGAUGCUGCCUUGGGGGCUUUACAGUCUGGAGCUCAAGGGACCCCUUAAGUUGGGCUUACUUAGUAACUCCAGGGGUGGGCAGAACAGGACUCCAAUGAGGGUUUUUUUCUUUUUCCCUUUUUUUUCUUUUCCUAUCUCUUAACUUUUAUCUUUAUUAUUUUACAAUGCCCUUGUAAGAUGAAACAAGUGAUGCUGAAAUAUCUUUUUCUUUUUUAACCUUUAUUUUAGAAUUGGGGUACAUGUGCAGGUUUGUUACAUAGGUACAGUGUGGGCUGCUGAGGUUUGGGAGUACGAAUGAAUUAGUCACCCCAGUGGUGAGCAUAGUGCCCGAUAAGUGGUUUUUUCAACCCUUACUCCCAUCCCUCUCCAUUCUUGUGUUCCCCAGUGUCUGCUGUUCCCAUUUUUAUGACCAUGUGUACUCAAUGUUUAGCUCCCACUUAGAAGUAAGAACAUGCCCAGCACUUUGGGAGGCCGAGGUGGGUGGAUCAUGAGGUCAAGAGAUCGAGACCAUCUUGGCUAACAAAGUGAAACCCUGUCUCUACUAAAAACAUAAAAAAUUGGCCGGGUGUGGUGGUGGGCACCUGUAGUCCUAGCUACUCGGGAGGCUGAGACAGGAGAAUCGCCUGAACCGGGGAGGUGGAGGUUGCAGUGAGCUGAGAUUGUACCACUGCACUCCAGCCUGGGUGACAGAGUGAGACUCCAUCUCAAAAAAAUAAAAAUAAAAAAAUAAAAAGAA
Molecule: long non-coding RNA, 1409 nt
Filed under: Homo sapiens (human)
Lineage: Eukaryota; Metazoa; Chordata; Mammalia; Primates; Hominidae
Description: HSALNT0401173
Source: RNAcentral